AUGGACGCAAGUCUGAUGGAGCAACGCCGCGUGAGUGAAGAAGGGUUUCGGCUCGUAAAGCUCUGUUGGUAGUGAAGAAAGAUAGAGGCAGUAACUGGCCUUUAUUUGACGGUAAUUACUUAGAAAGUCACGGCUAACUACGUGCCAGCAGCCGCGGUAAUACGUAGGUGGCAAGCGUUGUCCGGAUUUAUUGGGCGUAAAGCGAGUGCAGGCGGUUCAAUAAGUCUGAUGUGAAAGCCUUCGGCUCAACCGGAGAAUUGCAUCAGAAACUGUUGAACUUGAGUGCAGAAGAGGAGAGUGGAACUCCAUGUGUAGCGGUGGAAUGCGUAGAUAUAUGGAAGAACACCAGUGGCGAAGGCGGCUCUCUGGUCUGCAACUGACGCUGAGGCUCGAAAGCAUGGGUAGCGAACAGGAUUAGAUACCCUGGUAGUCCAUGCCGUAAACGAUGAGUGCUAAGUGUUGGGAGGUUUCCGCCUCUCAGUGCUGCAGCUAACGCAUUAAGCACUCCGCCUGGGGAGUACGACCGCAAGGUUGAAACUCAAAGGAAUUGACGGGGGCCCGCACAAGCGGUGGAGCAUGUGGUUUAAUUCGAAGCAACGCGAAGAACCUUACCAGGUCUUGACAU
This 625-nucleotide ribosomal RNA is filed under the name Lactobacillus gasseri. RNAcentral describes it as "bacterial SSU rRNA". It matches the Rfam family "Bacterial small subunit ribosomal RNA", at positions 371 to 987 of the family's 1533-position model. The record is from RNAcentral. Lineage: Bacteria; Bacillati; Bacillota; Bacilli; Lactobacillales; Lactobacillaceae.